AGCAAAUGAGAGUUCUGGAAAAAUAAGGAUUUGUCUCUUUCAACAUGGAUACCUCUUUAAUUUUAAUCAUUUUAAUGGAAAUCUUUCCAAAAUACAUAGAACAUAAUUUAACUUUUUCCUGAUGCUUUGGGAUCAUCACAGUGAACAAAAGCUUUGUUGCUUUGCUGCAAUACAAUAGGGCCCUGAAGGUCUUUGGGGGAUAUAAAGAGUCCUAGAUUUUUGUGAUUCUCAAGGUAUUUUGGAAACGUUUAAAUAGACUUUCUUUCUCCCUACCUUUUUAUCAGGCCAUUACCUACCACUCCGGUUAUUAAUGAACCUAUUUUCCACCCACAUUUUCUAAUUUUCAAUGUUUACUGUGAGCAUAGAAGACACAGUAAACAUACACACACAUACACAUGUACACACACGUGUGCAUGAGAGCAUGUGCCAAGAAUUGUGAGCAAAUACCUGAGAAUUUUCUAUGAGUAAACUGAAUACAUUAUGAGUUCUUUAUUUCAGCUUUCCAGAGGCCAUUCUGGUAAAUUUUUGCUCAAGUUAGAAAUAGAAAGUUACAAAACAAAUGAGUUUAAUGUUGAAAAGUUACUCUCAGAUUUUUAGGAGCCAUAUAUUGUUUUAGAAAAUUCUUCAGUUUUAUUCGUUUCCACUUAAAACUAGUAUAGGCGAUGGUUACUAAAAGGGGAUUCCUUUUAUGAGAGGCCCUUCAUUACAUUAUCCCAACUUCACAUACAAACUAUUUCACUAUCUUUAAAAAUGUUAUCAUGAUAUUCUCAAACUAUUGUUAUUUUUGCUUUUAAACCUACAGGUGCAAAAACAAACUGCAACCACAAGAGCUAAAUCUCUCUCUCUCUCUCUCCCCUAUUGUCCUCUUUGGCAAAGUUCUGUGGAAAGCUGAAUAAAUGAGCAGGGCCAUUCGGCACAGUGUAACCCAUACCUGCCCUAUUGUGCAAUGCCUUAAACGUAAGUCCUUUUCAACUAAACAGAGGUAUAUUUUCUUUUAUAUUGUUGACUUUGACCCUGCAGCUUAGCAAAGAACACUUGUGCAACAUUUUCUGGAUCAAUUUAUCAUCCGCUCAGAGCAGACAUGCAUUUUUCCUCAUCAUUAAAGGGAAACCAAAACCAUCUACAUAAUCCCCCAUUCUGCUUUGUUUCUUUGCAGUCCUUCAUGUUGUAGAUUCUGAAAUAUUAAUGAAGGGACAUGAAAGUUAUGUGCUCCAUUCUCACUCUCAGCCCUAGUGGGAGCAAGGGCAUGGCUAGGGAGUGGGAGAAUGAGAAAUUCCUCACUUUGCAAAAACAGUGUUGCUCAAAGUCAGGUUGCUGGACUCUACCUUAGAAUCUCUCAAGGUGCUGGUCUAAAAUCCAGAUUCCUAGGUUGGCCUGUACACUUCCUGAAUCAUAUUUUGGGAGGAUAGUGCUUUGCCAUUCGCAUUUUCAACUAACGCAUUUUAAAUUAAUUGGACUAGAUAUUGUCCAAGUUUUUUCUUUAUUUACCAAAUUUUAUGCCUCUGACUCUUAAGUGAAUACUAGUAGUAGUUAAAUACCUACAGAAUACUCACAAUAAACUUUAUUGUAAGAAUAAUACCUUUCAUUUGUACAGCAGCAUUUUUAACUUUUCAAAGUGUUUUCCUAUAGAUAACCAUCUGAGGUGGGCAGGGGAGGUGUUAUCACCUCCAUUUCAGAGAUGUCAUUGAGGCCCCUGAAGCUCAAUGACUUGUGCAAACUCCGCUGUAACUUAGUGGUCAGGAGUCAGGGCUGGCACGUAAGUCUGCCAUCCUCAUUUUAUUGCACAUGUGGUCUUCUAAGAUCCAAGACACAAGAGGAAGCUUUAUUAAAGUGUCCCUUAAAAAUAGACCUGAGCUGAAAUCAGUGCCUCCCGAGCCAGUCCACAUGCUGUUGAGUGUGCUGUGCGUUGGCUCCUGAAAGAUGAAAGAAUGGACAAAGCCCUGGGUACUGGGGGACAAACAGGAAUCUUCAAAACAAAGAAAAUCUCAUUCCUUUUCUGUUCAUCCCCUUCAAUUUUCUGAUCUUUUCCCUCCACUCCCUCUUUCUUGUAAAGACUCAAACUCUGAAAUAAUUAUAUGAAAUUAAGUCGGUAAAAACCAGGCUCGUUUCCUUAAGAUUGAUGUGUUAACAUUUGGGGCAGUUUUCUCAGGACUCGGGGAGACUAUUAUUUCUGAGCUUGGCUGCAGGAAUCUUCCUCUUCCCCAGGCAGAGGAGUGUCUCCUCCCCCAGAACUCCCCAGAAACCAUGUGUCUUUAUUUCCAUGACACCUCCCCCCAUGACACAGCCUAACUAUGAGCAGAAGUUCAUAAAAAAUUUUUUUUAAGUGCUGGAGACUUUUCUUCUUUUAUUUCUGAUCAUAACUACCCACUGUCUGGGGAAAAAAAAAAAAAGGAAACACAGCAGGCUCUAAACUUCUAAACUCUGUGAGACUGCAUGCAAUGAGUGUCUAGAGGUCUGAGGAAGGUGCGGGAAACUUUCCAGCUCCACCUGCCUGUUCUUAUCUGUGUAUCAAGAGAAGCAGGCUGGUUGGUUGUCAGCAAAAAGGCAUCUUUUCAUGCAAAUUAUAUUGCUCCUUAAAAAGAAAUUAUAAUAAAGAUGAAGGUGUGAUCUUGCCUGCCACUUUCCCACUGUAUGGAAUAAAAUGAAUGAGAGAGAGAAAGAUAACUGGGAUUCUCUGUAUUAUAGGGAAAUGGCCUGGGUGUGCAGUGUUGAAGCCAUGCUGAAUUUCCCGUGUUCCUGCGGCAGCCUCUGAGGAGACCAGCAGGGUCAGAUUCAAGAGAUUGUUCAAGCUUCCUACACUUUCAGUUAAAUAAAAAAGAGGGUCCUGACUUUCUAUGCUUUUCAUAAAAUCUAUGCUGAAAAGAUAGAUGUUCAGAAGUUGACUGUGUUGGACUUUGGAGCACCCAAGAAUUGGCAAAUCCAGACUGGGAACUGUUUCUUUGCCCAGCCACCUGCAAAUAGACUUGAGAACAAUGUAAACCACCCUCUGCAGGAUAUUGAUUCUGGUGGAGCAAAUGUCGAUUAAGCAGAAUGGUGGCUUUUUUUAACUGGAGGAAUUCCAGAUCUUUCCUCGGGCCUGUCUCUCCGGGGAAAUGAGCUCUAUCCUCAAAAAUCUACAGAAAACCUGAGUAAGAAUGAAGAUUUAUGAUGGGAGACGCUGGGCCGGAAGACGGCUGGCUAUCUGGUGGGCUAUCUAGAAGCUCAUCUUUGUGUUAUUAGAGAAACACUCCCUCUCUUGACAGGAUAUGGUCUGCUUAUCACAUAAUCUGCUCAAGUUUCAUUCCCAUUCUGCUUACAAAUGCCCCAAAUAUAAAGAGAUGCAUUUCAUUAAGACAGCCUUUUAAGAGGCAGUUUAUCCCAGCUGUUGCAGUCUAUCUUAAACACCUACCUUUUCACCCUAGUGUGGAGUUUACAUGUUGAUAAGGGAUGUAAAAAAGGGAACUUUAGAAAUCUCAGCAAAGGAAAAACACUGAGGCUGCCUCUGGGAAUUGGAGGAACAGUAAAGAGCCCAGGAAGAUUUAAGUUCCAGAACAGUCCCCCUUCUCAGAGAGGAGCCCUGCGAUAAUGCUUGCCUGCCUCGGGCCUUUGGGCUGACCCCAAACACCAGAGACUGUAAACACUUUUCCAGUCAUAUAAAUGAGGGAAUUCUUUGCCUGCUACUUUGGCAUUUUCUUGUCAAGAGCCGGUAGCAAAAUAGAAGUGAAAAAUGCAGAUAGGAACAGGAGAACCAGACCUGGAAGGUUUCAGCUCACCUGGGGCCUGUCUUUCCUGGCAUUGCCCAUCCUCAUCAGUGACGAAUUCUCGAAACCUGACUUCACCACACACACGUAGACCUGUGAUGUGUUCCCAGGUGGCCGAGUGGGAUUUGCUGGCGAAUGACCUGCGUGAGCUUUCUCUCUCUCACUCCUGGGUCUGCAAGCCCAGAGAGCCAGAGGCUCUUGGUGACUGAUGAGACAAGUCUGAAAGAUUUUCAUGGGGGGUGGGAGCAGGCGAGAGGGGGGAAGUAUUCUUAAUACUCAAUUAAUUAUUCUUAAUACUUAGAAUUAGGUAUAAAUUGCAGAAAACAGGAGGGGUGGUCCCAGAGUCCUGCCAGGGUCCUGGUGCAGACUAUUUUAGCUGGUAGGGGUGGAAGUGGGGAGGUACCCCCUUUGUUGGAGAAGAAACAAACCUGGGACUGUGACCCCAGUGGGCUUGCUCCUGAAGGAAGGCUGGUGUGUUUGAAGUCAGGACUGGCGUGCUCAGGAAGCUGGCUGCAUCAGGUUCCCAUUAGCCCAGACAGCCGAUAGUGGGUUCACACCCAACAUGGUAACAAUUAAGCCUUCUGCUACUGGUCCUUACCCUGGGGUGAGGCUCUUUUCUUCCUUACCAAUGUGACUUAAAGUCACCCUGGUUUCCUUGUGGCUCGAUUUCUUGCAGAUUCCCCUUGCUUCAUGUUUAAUCUUCUGAGACCACUCAUUAGACCACACAAAUUGCAACAAUCGUCUCCAGCACCCAGACACUGUUCCAGACUCUCAGUGUGCUCAGGAGAAAGACUGUAUCUCUCUGAAACAUGAGUUGCUUCCUGUGUAAAUAGUUGGCUUACCAAAAAUCAGAGUUAUAAAUAUUGGCGAAAAUAAACUAAUCAUACAUCCAUACCCUGAGGCAUGAAAAAUUAUUUUCUUCCUUUUUUUAAAGAAUGGUUUAGAACAAUUAUCUCCAUUUUCAGUGACGAGAGAGAUAAUACAUGCACAAAUGCUGUAACACGAAACAGAAAAAUAAAAAGAUAUCAUUAAAAUGCUAUGGCUUUUCCAAGGACGAAAAAUGCUUCUCUAUAAAGAUGCCAUUUAAGAUGACCCUUGAAAAACAGGUAGAAUUUGGAUACAUGGAAGUUGGUGGAAAGAAGAAAAGGGCACAUUAGGAUAGAGAACAAAAGCAAAAAAAGAAAAAAAAAUUGGACAUUUUCUAAGGGUUUACAGUGGCUUAAGCACCAAUAGAUGCUAUGGAAAGUAAUAAAGUAUACAGACGCUUCUCCUCUUACAAGGCGGUUAUGUCCUUAUAAACCCAUCAUAAGCUGAAAAAUAUCGUAAGUUGAAAAUGCAUUUAAUACAAUCUACCGAACAUCAUAGCUUAGCCCAGACUCAAACUAGAACACUUAGAUCAGCCUACAGUUAGGCAAAAUCAUCUGGCAACACAGAACACUGCAGAGUGUCAGUUGCUUGCCCUUGUGAUAGUGUGGCUAGAGCUUGUUAAAACCCGUUUCCCUGAGCUCCACACCGGAGUGUCUGAUUUUAUACUCUGGUUUCACUUCAGAUCGAAUAAAUCUUCUGCCUUUUACGAAAGAUUUCCACGGAGAGGAACAACUCUUGAGUUUUUGGUCAAUGUUUUGAGGUUUUGCUUCGGCAGGGCUAAUUGUAAAAGAAAAAAAAAAUUAAAAAAUAAACAAAAACAGAGUUUCUGAUUUAGUAGGUCUGGUGUGGGAGGUGAUGAGUUGUGCUGGGACAAGCUCCCCUGACGAUGCUGGUGCCCCCGGCCUAGGAACCCACACUUUGCCGCUGUGGAAAGGUCAGCGUGCCCAGCGUGCAGGUGUCUGCUUGGGGGAAGUAGCGGGAAACCAAACUGUACAGGGAAGGCCACCAGAGAAAUAUUAAAAACCAGUUUGUUAUUAAUUCUCUUCGUUUUCCUUACUGUUGAUUCUCCAUCUGAACAGAACCGUAAACACCCUUGUUUUUUUCUAUUCCCAAUGGCUUCUUGGUUUAGAAUGAAUUCUUGUGAAAGAAGAAAAUAAUGUUUUUAUUCCUCUGGAAGAAACUACUAUGGUUAAAACUGGGCAUCAUUUCAAAAGACAGGUUUCAUCAAUCUCUUCUGCAACAUGCAUAUUUCUCAAAUAGCUUUGCCUCUGCCAGGAAGUGUGGUCUGUUACCCCAACCUUUUUGCCACCAGGGACCUGUUUCACAGAAGACAAUUUUUCUACAGAGUGUGGGAGCAGGAGGGAGGCAGAGCUCAGGUGGUGAUGUGAGGGAUGGGGAUAGGCUAUAAAGCUUUGCUGGCCUGCCACCGCUCACCUCCUGCUGUGAGUGCCCCCUUCCUAAGUUUCAUGGGACAAAUUUUCCAUGGAUGGGGGAGGGGCGGCAGAGCUCUGUAGCUCAGUCCCUAACAGGCCACCGGUACUGGUCCACAGCUUGGGGGGUGGGGACCGCAGUGUUAUGGGAUUGGUGUUAUGGAGCUUUACACAUUGGCUGGACACUGUCACAGUCAACCCCCCUGAGAACCCAAGUAUUAAAAACAUUGACCAAAGGUACAUUGUAAAAUGAUGAAUUUGUUGGUUGCUUUUCCAAGAUAUUCACAUCAUUUAUUGCCUUAAAUGUUAUGUAAAUAGAAGUUAUAAUCCUUAUUUCAUAAUCUUUUUGCAUAAUCCUUAUUCCAUAAUCUUUUUGCAUAUUCCUUGUUCCAUAAUCUUUUUGCUUUUGCAUAUUUACAUCAAAGCUUCUCACCAUUGUUUCUCCCCAUUUUUGCAGAAAAAAAAGAAGUAAUCCAGAUUAAUGGGGAAAAAGACUUCCAAAUUUGAAACUGUUUUUAAAAUGUCUUUAUUCUGUCUAAAAUGAAACAAUUUCAUAAUCUUCUUUCUGCUAUAUAGGGUUACUUAUGAGUUUCUCUCAGAGUUUAUUAGCUUGAUUGAGGUGGAAAUGUUUUCCUGUAUACUUUACUUAGUAGAUGGCCUCUGACAUAUGUUUGAAGAUCAAGUUAUAGUAUACUAUAGUCUGUAGACAGAAAUGUGCAGUGCACAUUCCAAAAUUUCCUUCAGUCUUUUGAUUAUUGAAGAUAAGAGUUGUGUAGUAUGCAAAUGACAAUAAUUAGAGAACAUCACAAUACACACAGUUAAUAGCAUGAUUCAUAUUUAUGAAGUACUAAUUUUGUGUGAAUACCAAAAAUAUAUACUGAUUAUACUGUUCAAAUUUUGAAUUGAGCAAAUAAACAAAAUAGCUAGGAAGAGAAUUGAUUUUAUAACAGUGAGCCAAAUUUAUUAUUUAUUAUCUUUUCUCAUGAUUUAAUAUAUGAAGGAUAAAUGAGGUAUUUUUAAGGUAUUUCUUUAUGUAGAAAGAAAUGAAAUACUGUACUUUCAUGUAUUAAGGGCUAAAGGUACUCAUUUCUUCCUGAAAACUUAGAAAGGUACUUUUGUUGCACAUGUAAGAUAGAGGCAGGAAAACAUUGCAUGUGUGGAGAGCUGAACAGAACCUUCGAGGGGCUGGCUUGGUCAUGGGUGCCUGCCUGGGAACCUACAGCAACUUAAUGACAGGGUAAGACCAGAAUCCUGGAUUUGUCAGAAUUCCUGACUCCUUUACUGGGAUUCUUUCCAGACUAUAUUAAGGAGCAACUUGUUCUUGGAGGAGAAAAUUCUUUUUUUUUUUUUGUAAAUUUACCUUAGAUUUAUAACCUACUGGCAUUUAUUAUCUCCUCCCCUACAACUUUAGGCAUCUUAGUAAAAACAAUAUCUUGAGUGAAAAUGAAUUGAAUACAAGAAAGAAAAUUUGAUUUUUCCUCUAACCCAACAUCAAAGAUGAUUUUUAAGGUUUUAUUUCUUCUUUGGCCAGAUGUAUUUUUCUGUGAAGCAAAUUUAUUAAACUGAGAUCAUGUUUCCAUUCACUUUUGACAUGUGGUGCGUAUUUUCAUUUGUGUGUUACUUUUAGCACAUUUUGCACAUUAUGUUUGAUAGGAGCAGACAUGGGUUGUCCAGCAUAAUACAUACAUAAAGUUGUCAGUGCAGUGCGUCGUGUGUCUCUUUGAAGAAAGGACACCAGAUUUUAAAUAAAUAUAUCAGUUAAUUCAUUAAAUGCUUGUUCUCCCUUUUUGUACUCACCCUAGGGGAAUCUAUUCCUAUUUUACAUUUUAUUACUCAAAACUAUUUUGGAACCCCUACAGUAUUUGUCCUUCAAGGUAGUUGGAGUCCCCCAAGAAAUUUGGUCUCAUUAUUUUCUUGUCGUUUUGUUUCUGACCAGAAGUAUGUUGCUCAGUGUGGUCAACGAACUCAGUUGCUUAAUGACUUGGUUGUCUCCAAAAAUCAGAUCCACGCAGACAGAAUGAUGACAAGGCAUGACUGAGGGGAUGUGAAAGAAAGUGCCAAGAGAAGAUAAAAAAUAUUGUGGAUAAUGGCAGCAUCCCUGGAGUAACUGUGGCCUCCCAAGCAGACUGUGUUGAUCACACACAAUCUGAUGUUUGUGAUAAAAGGUCCAUUCCCUCCCAGUUGUGUCUUGUCCACCUUGUCUUCUCAAAGCAUGAUUGCAGAUGUUGCAACACAGCAAAAUUCUGUCCAUGCUUCAUUUGCUUAGAUGUCUCCAUUUAAAAUGCUGUACCAAAUAAAAAAGGGAAAUACUGAGUAAAGAAUUGAUACUGGAAUGGGAUCCUUCUUAGUCCCAGAAACCCUCCCUGCUUUUCCUAUGCCUUCACUGCCUUACUCCCUU
Microcebus murinus (gray mouse lemur) is the source of this 8435-nucleotide non-coding RNA. NCBI's taxonomy places the organism in Eukaryota, Metazoa, Chordata, Mammalia, Primates, Cheirogaleidae. The record is from RefSeq and is a predicted model, not a curated record.